CACUACAGAAGCUCAUACUGGCAUAGCACUAGCCUUUUAAGCUAGAAACAGAGGCUGACCAAACCUCCUUAGUG
This 74-nucleotide transfer RNA is filed under the name Ranacephala hogei (Hoge's toadhead turtle). RNAcentral describes it as "Mesoclemmys hogei (Hoge's toadhead turtle) tRNA-Lys". The record is from RNAcentral. Lineage: Eukaryota; Metazoa; Chordata; Testudines; Chelidae.